UAAAAUCGCAAGUGGUAAGGCAAGUUACUACGGUUAUUAAUUGACUCGACUAAAUGCUCCAAAUUUUACUUUAGUAGACCGCGCUGCGUCGAUUUAUUGCACGUAAAGCUAUGCAUUGAUAGUUACCUUUCAAAAAUACUUAAACCUAUAUUCGCCCAGGCGGAAAGCAUGAGGUGGAGAACAUUGAAAGCAACUAUGUUGGGGCUGAUUGAAUCUACUACCUUAUCAAAUAAUACUACUAUUACCAGAGUCAAUUACACAGGCUAUUAAAUAAUUAACUUAUAUCACUUUUUUACUCGCUUUUUUUAACUUUUUUUUGUAAGCUUUAGGAGGCGAUUAGUAUAUAUGCCUUAAAACUUUGAGAGUCAAGUAUAUUUUAGUACAGAGUAGUUAUUUUUAAGCUAAACUUCCAUUAGUUUUGUGACUUGCCCUGCUACGUUAUACUGCGCAGUGAAACAAACAAGUCUACACAGAGAGAGCCUGAUGUAGCAGUAAAAAUAGCUGCCGACUCGUGUCCUUUGACAUACUCUGGAGGGGUAACUGUUUAGAAAAAGACCCAAAGUCUUGAACAAACCUUUU
Molecule: long non-coding RNA, 579 nt
Organism: Zophobas morio
Lineage: Eukaryota; Metazoa; Arthropoda; Insecta; Coleoptera; Tenebrionidae
Exons: 4
Source: RefSeq, a predicted model, not a curated record